UUCUUUAUGUUAUGAUAUAAAGUAAGACCUGCUCAAUUAGCUUAAGUAAAUAGCCGCAGUUAAUCUGUGCUAAGGUAGCAUAAUCAUUUGCUUUUUAAUUAAAAGAUAGAAUGAAAGGUUAAACGAUUAAAUAUUAUGUCUAACAAACUAAUUAAUUUAAUAAAAUUGUAAAAAAUCAAUUAAAAAUAAAUGGGACGAUAAGACCCUAACAAACUUAACAUUUAGUUGGGGCGACAAUUCAAUAAUACCUUGAACAAUAAAUUAUACCAUCUUAAAUAUUAAACAAGAAUAGUUACUGUAGGGAUAACAGCGCUAUUUUUCUUAAGAGCUCUCAUCCAAAGAAAAGAUUACGACCUCGAUGUUGAAUUAAUUAGUCUUUGAGGCGCAAAAGCUAAAAAAGAUAGUCUGUUCGACUAAUAAUAAAUU
RNAcentral lists this ribosomal RNA (426 nucleotides) under Quamtana oku. RNAcentral's name for it is "partial 16S ribosomal RNA". The stretch from base 191 to 426 matches the Rfam family "Archaeal large subunit ribosomal RNA", at positions 2153 to 2666 of the family's 2987-position model. The record is from RNAcentral. Lineage: Eukaryota; Metazoa; Arthropoda; Arachnida; Araneae; Pholcidae.